Molecule: RNA transcript, 1305 nt
Organism: Lathyrus oleraceus (garden pea)
Lineage: Eukaryota; Viridiplantae; Streptophyta; Magnoliopsida; Fabales; Fabaceae
Exons: 4
Source: RefSeq, a predicted model, not a curated record
AGGACAAGGGACAAGCCCAUGCGCGAAGGGGAGUGCGCUAUUGGACUGGGGGGUGUAAACGACUUCGUGUGGGCCUGAGGUGCGGAAAUAGUGAAUCGAUUAAGGAGAAACGCGCUUAUUCAAAGAAGCUUCAACGCGUGACUCGUUCUCCUCUUCAUCGUCAUCGUCGCGCAUCACCGUCGUGUUCUCCAUAAUCAUCACUGUGCUCGCAUCGCCGUCGCAGUCCUAGAAAGAAGAAGCUGAAUCCGAUGAUGCGCAUCCUCUUUCACUUGCGUUCGUUGCCUAGGACGACUCAAGGAUUCAUAUCGCUUUCCACGUUCUGCAAUCGCGCCUCGCAAACCUCGACUCACGGUUUCGUAUUCGAAGAUUCGAUUUAUGAAAAACAGAGAUAUGGAAGAUGAAUAAGAGUGCUUACCGAUUUGGACAGCUAUCGCGCGUUUUCCCGUUUGAUUCCCGAUUGAUCUCUUCUUCUUCUUCUUCGGUUCGAUGCUUUGCGGAUUAUAGCGGUUCUAAGAGUUGCGAACUGUUGCGAAAAGGAUCGGCGUUUGUUCCGUUGCGUCGUUACGGUUGUUGCCGGUGGAUUGCGAUUUGCAGAACUCUUCACAAGUCCUUCUGUUGCGGUUAUGCGGAACCGAGAUUACCGUGAGGUUAUGAGAGGAUGAAGGUGAGAAUGGAGAGCUCGAGAGUGAGUGCGUGGGAAGGUGGAGAGAAGAGAAAGAUGAUGAAUGUGGCAAUGGAAGAAAGUGAAGAGAGAAAAAGAAAAACCCCUUCUGAACGGUGAAGUUAUAUGGAAAAGAUGGAAUGAGGUUGAUGAAAUCACUAUUAAAUUGAUACGCAGCUUGCGUUCGCACUUGGAUAAGUUCUUGUUGUGCAUUUCGUGUUCUGCAACUGUUGGCUUUGGUUAUGGACUGCUGCGUUUCCACGCUCUUGUUUGCACUCCACCUGCUUUUUACUGCGUCAUGGUAGCAGCUUUGUCGUUUGGAUUUCGUUAGCACUUAUCUUUAUGCCGGCGUAUGCUGCGUUUUGGCUUCCACGUUUUGGUAGCAGCAGGUUUGUGAAGCUUGGCUUUUCCACGCUGGCGUUGCCGUUUUACUGUCAUGGCUUGUAGCCGUUGGAAGUGUUGUUUGGUUGUGGCUUCAAUCUUGCCGUUCGUUUUGUACUGUCGGCUACUGCACCUGCGUUUUAUGCUCACUUUCACUGCUAGCUUAUACUUGCAUUUACAUUCCCAAUUGUUAUGGAUUAUUCUGUCAUGACUUGGAUACUAAGUGGACAUUUAGUCAUAAGAAAUGGUGUUGGAUUAAAUGA